UCUAACAAUGCGUAAAUCCAUGAAGAAAUAGCACGGCAUAUAUAAAAAUGCGACACCAGCUGAAUGUUAUUGCAGCCAUGGCGAUGAUCGUUCAAAUAUCAAUGCUGUGUUGGUUACUGCUCUCGGUGUCCUGUAGCCCGGGAAGCGAUAGGACUGACCAACACCCGUCGAAAUCGCCAAUUCCAUUGGAACUACACAGCCUCAGAGUGAAAG
This is a long non-coding RNA of Dermacentor silvarum, 213 nucleotides long. RefSeq lists it as uncharacterized. The transcript is spliced from 3 exons. The record is from RefSeq and is a predicted model, not a curated record. NCBI's taxonomy places the organism in Eukaryota, Metazoa, Arthropoda, Arachnida, Ixodida, Ixodidae.